UACAGAGGUCCCAAGCGUUGUUCGGAUUCACUGGGCGUAAAGGGUGCGUAGGUGGUCGAGUAAGUCUGAUGUGAAAUCUUCGAGCUCAACCCGAAAAUGGCAUUGGAUACUAUUCGGCUGGAGGGUUGGAAGGGGGACUGGAAUUCUCGGUGUAGCAGUGAAAUGCGUAGAUAUCGAGAGGAACACCAGUGGCGAAGGCGAGUCUCUGGACGACUCCUGACACUGAGGCACGAAAGCUAGGGGAGCAAACAGG
Molecule: ribosomal RNA, 253 nt
Filed under: uncultured bacterium
Lineage: Bacteria
Description: partial 16S ribosomal RNA
Rfam family: Bacterial small subunit ribosomal RNA
Source: RNAcentral